This 254-nucleotide ribosomal RNA is filed under the name uncultured bacterium. RNAcentral describes it as "partial 16S ribosomal RNA". It matches the Rfam family "Bacterial small subunit ribosomal RNA", at positions 524 to 776 of the family's 1533-position model. The record is from RNAcentral.
UACGUAGGGUGCAAGCGUUAUCCGGAAUUAUUGGGCGUAAAGAGCUCGUAGGCGGUUUGUCGCGUCUGCUGUGAAAACUGGAGGCUCAACCUCCAGCCUGCAGUGGGUACGGGCAAACUAGAGUGCGGUAGGGGAGAUUGGAAUUCCUGGUGUAGCGGUGGAAUGCGCAGAUAUCAGGAGGAACACCGAUGGCGAAGGCAGAUCUCUGGGCCGUAACUGACGCUGAGGAGCGAAAGCAUGGGGGAGCGAACAGG